RNAcentral lists this unclassified non-coding RNA (768 nucleotides) under Hevea brasiliensis (rubber tree). The record is from RNAcentral. Lineage: Eukaryota; Viridiplantae; Streptophyta; Magnoliopsida; Malpighiales; Euphorbiaceae.
CCAAUGAUGCAGAUGGGAAUCAGGAUUCUAGUUGGGGCAAGAAAAACAAUUUUAAAGCUGAAUCCAGUGAUGCUAACCAAAUUUCUGGUUGUGGCAAGAAAAGUAGCUGGAACUCUGGAUCUGGUGAUGCAAGCUGGAAUUCUUCUGGAUGGGGCAAGAAAAGUAGUUGGAACCCUGGAGAUAGUGAUGUCAACCGGGAUUCUUUUGUAGCCAGUGGUGAAGACCAAACUGAGAAUUCUAGUUAUGGCUCAGGUGGUGGGAAUUCGAGGGGUGGUUUCAAAGGCAGAGGUGGUUCUUUUGACAGAGGAGGCCUUAGAGGUAGAGGGGAGAGAGGAGGUUUUGGGGGUAGAAAUGGUUCAGACAGAGGCUUUGGAGGCAGAGGUAGAUCUAACGGAGGAGGAUUUGGAUGUAGAGGUGGUUCAGAUAGAGGAGGUUUUGGUGGUAGAGAUAGAUUUGACAGAGGAUAUGGUGGCAGAGGUGGUGGAAGGAGGGAUCAUAGUAGUUGGAAUGAAAAUAAUGAUUCUGGUGAUGACAAGGCCUUCGACUGGAAGAAUAGGACAAACAAUGCUGGCGGAGGAUGGAAAACUAGUGGUGGAAGCAGCUGGAACCAAGGAGGUGCUGAUAAGAGCCAAUUGCAGAGUUGGAAUUCCCAAAAUGAUGGAAGUAGCAAUCAAAGUGGUGGUUGGGGCAAGGGCACUAGUGCAGUUGGGGAAUCUAAUGAUUCAUGGGGUAAAUCAUCAGCAAGCUCUUGGGGAAACAAGGGAGAUG